This 1481-nucleotide unclassified non-coding RNA is filed under the name Hevea brasiliensis (rubber tree). The record is from RNAcentral. Lineage: Eukaryota; Viridiplantae; Streptophyta; Magnoliopsida; Malpighiales; Euphorbiaceae.
UUUCUUUUAAUUUGGUACUUUGGAAAUUUAGAACUAGAGAAAAUUUAAUGUAGUGGAGUAAUGGUUGAAAGGUAUGAUGGUACUCUUGUCAAUAAGAGAAAACACUUACAACCAAAGUACCUGUAAUCAAGGACAAUAUUAGCUGGCUACUUCAAAAGAGAGUGUAAGGAAGAGUGAACUGAUGAUGUAAGUGGUGAAACAGUAGGGGCUGGAGGAAGGCAAAAUGGAUGUGGGUAGAGAACGUGAAGCAAGAACAGUUGCCUAGGAUUUGAUAUUGCUCUAGCUUGUUACAAUUCCAAAACAAUGCCUAAAAACUCCCAUAAUGGAAGUUCUGUUUUUAGUUUUCUACAAAUUUUCAAAUGCUUCAUAUUUUUGCGAAUUCUCAUCUUAUUGCUCUUCUUCAUUGAUGUCAAUAUCUCAAACAAUGUCAAAUGACCCUAUAAAAGAUUAGCAAGUAUAACAUGACUCCUGCAAAAGCCGUAGCAAAACAUAAAUCAACAACAAUAGUAAUGGAAAUGCAUGUUAUCAUUCAUAUCGUGUUGCUCAUUUUUGGUUUAUGUUGAGCAUCAGUGAAUUUUUUUUGUUUGGUAAUUAUCACUAGCAUGAUUUAGUCCACUCUGUAUGUAGUAAAAUUCAGGUCCUCUUUUGGACGCAAUGGAAGCCAUUCUCCAACUGUGAUUAUGGGGCAUGCAGCAUGCUUUUACCCAUCCUAUUUUGAUUGCUCUAUUUAUGCUUAUGUCUCCAUGUCUGGUUUACAUUUUUUCCCCCAAUUCUCUCUCUUUAUCUUAAUUUUUUUUUCUAACAUAUGUUUUAUCUUCCGUUUAGGUCCUGUUGUGUGAUACACAUUGCCUUCUCAGCUAUUGAAAGCUAGCUGGAAUGUUGAACUGUAAUUUCAUCAUUGGUGUCUGAUUGAAUUAACUAAAGCACAGUGCUCUUCCCAGCACCCAUCACACCACCCAUUAAAAGGAGGACUGGACUUCUGUCAGAGUGUGCCACUGGAGCCAUAACCUCUGUACAUCAGUGUACAUGAUAAAGCCAACAAAUAAAGGGAAUAAAGGAUAAAUUUUUUCUUGCAUUGGAUCGAUCAUGAAUUCUCUAAAAUACUUGAGCAUGAGCGACGAUACGCACCUUGUAGCCGCCAUGACAAUGUGCUUCAACUUCUUUUUGGGUUCCACAUCAGCACUCAACACCUGAAAUUAGAUGAUAAGAAAGCAACAGAAGCACAGUACAGGCAAAGACACUGCCAGGUCUAAUAAUAUUUUAUUUAGCUUUUCUCUACCUGAUGCAUGGUAGGAUCAAUAAGAGAGAAUGGUAGACAAGUUAUUAGCAGCCCUUGUAUAUAUAUAUAUAGUGUGUGUGUGUGUGUGUUACAUAUUACACGAGCAACAAAAUAGUUGAAAUAUUCAUGUGAUUAGAUUCUAGAUUAAGAAUUAAGAUGAAUCAGAGAAAAUGCAAUAUAUCGCGCUUGAUGUUCUUCCAAG